Molecule: ribosomal RNA, 494 nt
Filed under: uncultured bacterium
Lineage: Bacteria
Description: partial 16S ribosomal RNA
Rfam family: Bacterial small subunit ribosomal RNA
Source: RNAcentral
GACGAACGCUGGCGGCGUGCUUAACACAUGCAAGUCGAACGGUGAAGCGCCUUCCUUUUUGGUGGGUGUGGAUGAGUGGCGAACGGGUGAGUAACACGUGAGUAACCUGCCCCCUUCUUCUGGAUAACCGCAUGAAAGUGUGGCUAAUACGGGAUAUUCUGGGUCUGUCGCAUGAUGGGUCUGGGAAAGAUAUUGUUUCGGUGGGGGAUGGGCUCGCGGCCUAUCAGCUUGUUGGUGGGGUGAUGGCCUACCAAGGCGGUGACGUGUAGCCGGCCUGAGAGGGUGGACGGUCACACUGGGACUGAGACACGGCCCAGACUCCUACGGGAGGCAGCAGUGGGGAAUAGUGCACAAUGGGCGCAAGCCUGAUGCAGCGACGCCGCGUGAGGGAUGGAGGCCUUCGGGUUGUGAACCUCUUUCGCCAGUGAAGCAGGCCUGCCUCGUUUGUGGGUGGGUUGACGGUAGCUGGAUAAGAAGCGCCGGCUAACUACGUG